RNAcentral lists this ribosomal RNA (498 nucleotides) under uncultured bacterium. Its description in RNAcentral is "partial 16S ribosomal RNA". It matches the Rfam family "Bacterial small subunit ribosomal RNA", at positions 28 to 507 of the family's 1533-position model. The record is from RNAcentral.
GACGAACGCUGGCGGCGUGCCUAAUACAUGCAAGUCGAGCGGACGAUUCGAAAGCUUGCUUUUGAAUCGUUAGCGGCGGACGGGUGAGUAACACGUGGGCAACCUGCCCUGUAGACGGGGAUAACACCGAGAAAUCGGUGCUAAUACCGGAUAACACGAAAUGUCGCAUGACGUUUCGUUGAAAGGCGGCGCAAGCUGCCGCUACAGGAUGGGCCCGCGGCGCAUUAGCUAGUUGGUGAGGUAACGGCUCACCAAGGCGACGAUGCGUAGCCAACCUGAGAGGGUGAUCGGCCACACUGGGACUGAGACACGGCCCAGACUCCUACGGGAGGCAGCAGUAGGGAAUCUUCCGCAAUGGACGAAAGUCUGACGGAGCAACGCCGCGUGAGCGAAGAAGGCCUUCGGGUCGUAAAGCUCUGUUGUUAGGGAAGAACAAGUAACGUAGUAACCGACGUUACUAUGACGGUACCUAACGAGAAAGCCACGGCUAACUACGUG